RNAcentral lists this ribosomal RNA (253 nucleotides) under uncultured bacterium. RNAcentral's name for it is "partial 16S ribosomal RNA". It matches the Rfam family "Bacterial small subunit ribosomal RNA", at positions 524 to 776 of the family's 1533-position model. The record is from RNAcentral.
UACGUAGGGACCAAGCGUUGUUCGGAUUUACUGGGCGUAAAGGGCGCGUAGGCGGCAAUUCAAGUCAUCUGUGAAAUCUCCGGGCUUAACUCGGAACGGUCAGGUGAUACUGCUUUGCUAGAGUGCGGAAGGGGCAAUCGGAAUUCUUGGUGUAGCGGUGAAAUGCGUAGAUAUGCGGAGGAACACCGAUGGCGAAGGCAAUCCCCUGGGCCUGCACUGACGCUCAUGCACGAAAGCGUGGGGAGCAAACAGG